This 451-nucleotide ribosomal RNA is filed under the name uncultured bacterium. RNAcentral's name for it is "bacterial SSU rRNA". It matches the Rfam family "Bacterial small subunit ribosomal RNA", at positions 29 to 524 of the family's 1533-position model. The record is from RNAcentral.
AACGAACGCUGGCGGCAGGCCUAACACAUGCAAGUCGAGCGAGGUAGCAAUACCUAGCGGCGGACGGGUUAGUAACGCGUGGGAACGUGCCCAAAGGUACGGAAUAGCCUCGGGAAACUGAGAGUAAUACCGUAUGUGCCCUUCGGGGGAAAGAUUUAUCGCCUUUGGAUCGGCCCGCGUUGGAUUAGGUAGUUGGUGGGGUAAUGGCCUACCAAGCCGACGAUCCAUAGCUGGUUUGAGAGGAUGAUCAGCAACACUGGGACUGAGACACGGCCCAGACUCCUACGGGAGGCAGCAGUGGGGAAUCUUAGACAAUGGGGGAAACCCUGAUCUAGCCAUGCCGCGUGAGCGAUGAAGGCCUUAGGGUUGUAAAGCUCUUUCAGCUGGGAAGAUAAUGACGGUACCAGCAGAAGAAGCCCCCGGCUAACUCCGUGCCAGCAGCCGCGGUAAU